CCCAUUCUUUUUUUAAUUAAUUUUUAUUUUUUCCAUUAUAGUUGGUUUACAGUGCUCUGUCAAUUUUCUACUGUAUAGCAAAGUAACCUAGUCAUACAUACAUAUAUACAUUCUUUUUCUCAUAUUAUCCUCCAUCGUGCUCCAUCAUAAGUGACUAGAUACAGUUCCCAGUGCUAUACAGCAGGAUUUCAUUGCUUAUCCAUUCCAAAGGCAAUUGUUUGCAGUGCCCCCAUUCUUUUAAGCCCCCAAACCCCACACUCCCAGCAUCAGUGUGAAGCAAAUCCAAGACAUCAUUUAUUUUUGGUAUGUGCAGAGUGCUUUCGUAAGCCUAGUCUCACCAUGGCACAUGCAGGUGAAUGAACCUUCAGUGGCAUGAGGUCUGCUUGGUGGGUUGGACUAGGCCAGCUUCAAUCUGCUACUGCCCACCUUUUCAGCUUCUGUUCCUCCACUCCCCAGCUGACCCUACCCUUGCAGCCACACUGAACAUGUUUUCCCCAAAUGUCACAUUUUUUUCACCUGUCACUUGGUAGAAGAAUUUCCGUGUCAGACUUCCCAUCCCCCUCCCGCAUCUCAGGGGUCAUGUUUUCUCUGAAGUUUCCCUGAACCCCCAGACUAUUCUGUGGGCUCCAGUGGCAUCAAGACAUCUAUUUAUAGCACUUCUUUAUCAAGCAGAGCCUAUUACCUAACUAUAAGAUAGGCACUACUCUAGGGGUGUUCCAGAAAAAGAAAAAAAUUAACUCAUUUAACCCACAUAAAACCAUUCUCCUGAGGUUAUAGAUGGGGCUGGUGAAGCACAGAGAGGUUUAGACCACCCAGCUGGUAAGUGGCAGAGCUGAGAUUCACACCCAUGCAGUCAGGCUUCUUAACCACCUUCUAGGCUACUUGUUCUAGUGAAGUCUUACCCUUAUCAUGUGUCUGUCUUCCUCUGCAGACCACCAAGUCUUUGGGAACAGAGCCUGGAACUCACUCUCCUUGGCAAGAGUAAGUGCUCAGGCCUUUAUCUGGCAUGUUGCAGCCGCUGACCACCCAGGGUUAAGUGCGUGAAUAAAUGUAAGGCACUCUCCCCGGUCAUUUGCAGAGACUUCCAGGCUGGACUCUUCCUAGAGGCAGUUACAAUUUCCACUGGGACCAGGGCCCUAGGCUAUGCAGGAUGCUCAAUCUUUUUUCCAAGCAACAUUGCUGUGGCUCAUGAAGAGCUUGCUAUGGCUCUCACCUGGUGGAGGAGAUGGUGUGUGUGUUGGAGAGGCUGGAGAGGAUAGCUGGCGGUGGGGCUGGGUUUUACAAGUGUGGUUUGAAAAAAACCCCAGCCCUUUAGGUGAAGCCUCUUCUUUGAGAAGGACUGAGCUGGAGAGAUAAGGCCCUAAAAUGAAAUUCUAGGCAAUAGUCUGGGGAUGGAGGGGGAAUUUGAGGAUGUUGGGGACAGGAUCUUCCCCUCACCUCCUAGACUCUUGUAAAGGAUGAUGGGAAUGAAUAGCAUUACUUUCCUUGUGGAAAACAUUUUUCUUCUCCUUUUCCCUUGAAGUCCAGUGCAACUGCUAUGGGAAUGGAUUAUGUGUGUGAGCAAGCUCCUGAGAGGAGACAGGAAAGCUGCAAUGUUUACAACCUUCCAUGACCUGAUUCCAUUUCAAGGACAUGGGUCAUUAGCGGCUGGCAGCAGACAGAGCUUGUAUGCAUAAUUUCCAAGAGCUUCGUUACCACACUUGGGCAUAACUUUAUUUUUUGUCUCUGAGGUGACUGUUAUUAUUUACUGGAAAUUCCAUUAAUAAAUCCCAGCAGCCAAAGCUUUUCUUUUUUUCCCUACACAAUUCUCAAUAAUUAGAAGAUGCUAUUACUUGCUAUCUGGCCAUAGCCUAACCAAUGACCUAACGUAAGACUUUUCUUAUCACAGUUCUCUAGUAUUCUGGCUUAUGAGCAGCAAACCUUCCACUCUGUGACUCUGCGCAUCAUGGUUUGCGAUCUAAAACACUUAUGGCCAUAGGUGAUACACCUCAGAUACUUUUUGGCUGUUGCAGCAAAGACUACUCACGAAACAAAAAACAAGGUCCUAAUACCCAGUUCUACAGCUUAGUAGUAUCACCCCAGGAAAGUAACACUGCUGAUUUAGUCCUCAUUUCCUCAUUUAUGGACUUGUCUAAAACAUAUUUGGUUUUCUCUUGCAGGCCACUGGGACUGAUAGGUAGUGGCUGCCUGGAGUGCUUGGCUGAAAAAAUACAAUGGGGAAUGGUUUUGUGAUUGAUUGUUGAUGUCUGUGGUGGGUGAGGGAGCUUGAAUGCCAUAAUUUCCCAGGUAUUGCUAAUUCUGGGUUGGAAUGUCUUAAGUCUGUCAUUGUAGAGAUAUAAUGUGUUUAAUGUAUGUGGUGGUCCUGAGGCAAGACAACCAGCAGCAGUUCAGCAUUUCUGCAUGUUAUUUGUAGGUAGAGAUGACUAAAUUACUAAAGCCUCCAAAAGUUGUGGGAAUCCUGGGGAAUUUGUUGCAGCUCAGAAAUUUUUCAUGCACUGGAGUGAGCCUGACAUCUAGACUGAAGGGUAAUCUGUCUUUCUAUGCUGUUUCUAACCAAGCUAGUUUUGGUUUUUUGUUUGUUUGUUUGUUUUGGGCUGCAACUGCAGCAUGUGGAAGUUCCUGAGCCAGGGAUCAAACCCACACUGCAAUUUUGACCUGAGCCAGAGCUGUGGCAACGAUGGAUUCUUAACCUGCUGCACCACAUGGGAACAUCCAGGCUUGACUUUUAGAUUCCAGGGGUCACCUGGCCCCUUACUGGAUGAGGGUAGUUUGGGGACCAGGAUCAGGGGCAUCCCAGGAAGAACUGAGUUUCCUGAUGUUAGUAGUAUUAGGAUACUGAGACAAACAGGAUUCCUAUAAUCUUUAAGGUUAGAGAAUAUACUGACAUUUCAAUAAGGGACCCAUUUAAGAGAUUUUCUGAAUCUUAGGUUAUAUAACUUGUUCAAAGUCAGAGCAGGCAGACAGGAGGGAGCUAACAUGUACUUAAAGCCCACUAUGAGCCAGGCUUUUUAUGGAAUAAUAACUCACUCUUUUUGGUAACUUAUGGGGUGGGAGUUAAGGCAGCUGUAGUAUUUCAUAGCAAAGGAACUGGUGAUGCAGAGUCAUUGAGUAACUUGCACACAGCUGCACAAGAAGAGGUGGACCAAGGUCAGUCUUUCCAAAUGUUCUGGAUUCUGAUCAUAGCACAACAGCACAAUUUCUGUCAGGACUUCUCCUCCUCCUUCUUUCAUCUCCUUUCUUCUUUUUUUUCCCUUUUCAGGGCCACACUUGUGGCAUAUGGAAAUUCCUGGGCUGGAGAAAAAUCAGAGCUGCAACUGUCAGCCUAUGCCACAGCCACGGCAAUGCGGGAUCCGAGCCACAUCUGUGACCUACACCACAGCUUGGGGCAACGCUGGAUGUUUAACCCACUGAGUGAGGGCAGGGAUCAAACCUGUGUCCUCAUAGACACUGUGCCAGGUUCUUAACCCACUGAGCUACAACAGGAACUCCACUGUCUGGACUUCUGUAUGCCAAUUGCCAAUAUAAAUAGUUGUGAGGGGAUUUUUUUCUUUUGUAAUUUAUUUUUAUUUUUAGAAAUUAACUGAAAAACAUUUCUCAUUUGAAAUAUUUUCCUUUAACAUUUUAUAAGUUAAUCAAAUGCAUACUACCAUAGAUUUUUUGAUUGUUAUUUAAAUAAGGGAGUUCUCUUUUAGUAUUACACAAUUUUAAGAUGAGACUG
RNAcentral lists this long non-coding RNA (3718 nucleotides) under Sus scrofa (pig). Its description in RNAcentral is "lncRNA (ENSSSCG00000060537.1)". Lineage: Eukaryota; Metazoa; Chordata; Mammalia; Artiodactyla; Suidae. The record is from RNAcentral.